RNAcentral lists this long non-coding RNA (1398 nucleotides) under Salvator merianae (Argentine black and white tegu). RNAcentral's name for it is "lncRNA (ENSSMRG00000019079.1)". The record is from RNAcentral. Lineage: Eukaryota; Metazoa; Chordata; Lepidosauria; Squamata; Teiidae.
AUUGCCCAGAGCAAAUUCUUAUGGGCCUCGCUCUCUUGGAAGUAUUUCCAUGGCUAUACCUGUCACCAUACAAACACGUGUACUUUUCCUUCAAGCUCAGUGUAUAGAGGUUAUCUUCCUCUGAGACAGUGAAGUGGAAUUUUACCAGAAGGAAUGAUAAUAUCCUAACCCCAUUCUGAGACUUUUAGGAUAAGGGGCGGAGGGUUUUCUUUUGCAACUUCCUUUGAGGGGCAAGAUAAAUUUUGAAGUAGGUGGAGAGCAAGCAUUUGCUUCAAUAAAGGCAGCCAAAACUAACCUUCCACUAAAUAUUUUGAAUCCUCUCUCCAUUGCUGGCACUUCAUAAGAGGUAGCGGUCAAAAAUGUCGAGGAAGUUCUCCAUCCUCUCAGCUCUGUCUCUGGUUCUGAUUUUGAUUAUACAAGGAGCAUCUCUUGCCCCUGUGACCCAAGAGCCAACCACAGAGCCAAGUGAAGUGACACCUUCUGAUCCAAGUGAAGAAAGUGGAAAAGAGCUAAAUGCUGAACCAAGCUCAGAACCAAGUAAGGAGCCAAGUACAGACUCAGCUGAGGAGCCCAGCAUAGAACCAGCUGAAGCCAGUGGGGAACCCAGUGGGGAACCCAGUGGAGAAUUCAGUGGAGAACCUAGUGGAGAACCCAGUGAAGAAGCUAGUGGAGAAGCUAGCGGAGAAGCUAGUGGAGAAGCUAGCGGAGAAGCUAGCGGAGAAGCUAGUUGGGAACCCAGCGGAGAACCCAGUGGAGAAGCUAGUGGUGAACCCAGUGGAGAAGAAGAAUUACACAUUGAAUUAAGUGCGGAGCCAAGUGAAGAACCAAAUGCAGAGUCAAGUGAACAGCCAACUGAGCUGCCCAGCACAGAAACAACCGGGGAGCCGAGCCUAGAAUUCCUGCUCUUCCCAGAUAUAUUGCCAAGCGAAGAAUCACAUGGAGAUGAAAGCAAAGAGACCAGCACGGAAUCAGCCUUAGAACUAACUACUCAGCGAACAGAGAUUUUUGAGUAAAAAGUUAUUCAAGAAGCCACUUGCAGUGAUGUCUUCCUGAUCAUGUCUUGAUUGAAGCAGCUCUCCAGCCAAUGGGGAUUUACCAGGAUUCUCUUUAGUUUUGAAGCCAGCAGACCUUAUAGAAUUAAUUGUUUGGGUUUCAGUGAAACUCAGAUUAGUCCCAGUGGUUUGCUCCUCCUCCCACUUCCAUUUUAUUUCAUUUUGUUAUUUAUUAAACUGUGAUACAUCAGACAGCUCAGAGUUGGCUUGUAGCAGUUACACUGUGUUAUGGCAACUAUCCGUUUCCCUUUGUUAUUCCCACCUCCUGCUAGGGAUGAGUUCUCUUUAUGUAAGAACUCUCCCCUCACUGGCUAAAUAAAAUAAAGGAACGACAUUAUGAACUACA